CACGUAGUUAGCCGGGGCUUCUUAAUCAGGUACCGUCAUUUUCUUCCCUGCUGAUAGAGCUUUACAUAUCGAAAUACUUCUUCACUCACGCGGCGUCGCUGCAUCAGGGUUUCCCCCAUUGUGCAAUAUUCCCCACUGCUGCCUCCCGCAGGAGUCUGGGCCGUGUCUCAGUCCCAAUGUGGCCGUUCACCCUCUCAGGCCGGCUACUGAUCGUCGCUUUGGUAGGCCGUUACCCUGCCAACUGGCUAAUCAGACGCGGGUCCAUCUCACACCGAUAAAUCUUUUCCGUCAGUGCCAUGCGGCACCAGCGGGUUAUGCGGUAUUAGCGGUCGUUUCCAACUGUUAUCCCCCUGUGUGAGGCAGGUUACCCACGCGUUACUCACCCGUCCGCCACUCAGUCACAAGAGACUUCAUCCGAAGAAUCAUUCUCAGGUGCUUCGUUCGACUUGCAUGUGUUAAGCACGCCGCCAGCGUUCAUCCUGAGCCAGGA
This 490-nucleotide ribosomal RNA is filed under the name uncultured Lachnospiraceae bacterium. Its description in RNAcentral is "partial 16S ribosomal RNA". Lineage: Bacteria; Bacillati; Bacillota; Clostridia; Lachnospirales; Lachnospiraceae. The record is from RNAcentral.